Molecule: long non-coding RNA, 1157 nt
Filed under: Vigna radiata
Lineage: Eukaryota; Viridiplantae; Streptophyta; Magnoliopsida; Fabales; Fabaceae
Description: long non-coding RNA (VRAD_LNC009809)
Source: RNAcentral
UUCAUCAUAAACCAAAAUUCAUAAAAUCACAGAGGAUACAAAUCUAGUUGGAACUAAACAUAAUUAUUACUACUAUGUUUCUAGAGUUUCAAUUCAACUGAAGAAAAAAAAAUGUACUGAGAAUGAUAUCCUUCUCAAUUCAUCAUAAACCAAAAUUCAUAAUUUGGGGAGGAGAAGAUGUGAAACGGAAAUGGUGGAAGAGAGUGAAAUCCGUGAGUGAGAGAUGAGUGUGGGGAGGUGUAACUGCCUAGAAAAAAAAAGAGAGUAAAAAUAGGAUAUUUAAAUUAAUUAAAAAAUUCUAAAUGAAUUUGGGGAGGUGGAGGAAGCAUGGUGUGGAGGUGAAGGGAGCAACACCUAUAAAUUUGUGGGAGUACUGCAGUGAGUAUUGGUCCAAGCUAAGGCCCAUUUUUUUUGUUCAAAUCAUAUUAGGGUUUCUCAUUUUCUUUAUCCAGAAAUGAAAAGACAACUUAGGUCUCUUCUUCAUUCCCAUAUGCGGUCAGCCCUACUCUUCUCUUUACCGGCACCGCUGCGCCUCACCAUGGCCGGCCGAAAGUGAAAACGAAAACCUACCACCGUGAUCGCGUCGCCUCUAAUCGGAAUCCCCACUCGCCGUCGACGAUGCCGCCAACGUUGCCGCCGGUUAUUAUCUUCCUCAGACACGAAAGUCUCAAAACUUUUCUUCUUCCCUCAUCCAAACCCGUGAAGGCAACUCCUUCUUCUUUCCUCUCUGAACUCACAGAAACGCUAGAAAAGGGGUAAAACACAAUAUGAACCGAUUAAUCGAUUCGAGUGAGUGAUGGAACAAUGGAUAUUGAAGAACAAAUGGUGGAGAGGCUUCUAAUUGAAAGAAAAAAAAAGAACAACCGGUGAAGAUGACUCUAACCGGUGAGAAGAUGGAUUUAAACGGUGAAAAGGGAUUUUUUAUCGGUGAAAAUAGAGGAAAAAUGGCAGAUCUGUGUGGAGAUGAAGAAAGGAAAACUACCUUCGAAGAUGCGAAUGAAGGAGGUCAUGGCAGAUCUGUGUUGGAGAGAAAAGGAAAUUUGUGUUGGAGAGAAAAGGAAAAUGGAUGUGUUUGAAUGUAACUCAGAAAAAAAAAAUGUGAGAUGAAGGUGGUAUUAAGGAACAGAGGGGAUUAAUUAAAAUAAAAUUUUAAGUUA